RNAcentral lists this unclassified non-coding RNA (355 nucleotides) under soil metagenome. RNAcentral's name for it is "partial contains 5.8S ribosomal RNA, internal transcribed spacer 2, and large subunit ribosomal RNA". The stretch from base 1 to 120 matches the Rfam family "5.8S ribosomal RNA", at positions 35 to 154 of the family's 154-position model. The record is from RNAcentral.
GAUGAAGAACGUAGUGAAAUGCGAUAAGUAAUGCGAAUUGCAGAAUUCAGUGAAUCAUCGAAUCUUUGAACGCACAUUGCGCCCGCUAGUAUUCUGGCGGGCAUGCCUGUCUGAGCGUCAUUUCAACCCUCGCCCCCGGCUUUUGCUGGGAGCGGUGUUGGGGAUCGGCCGCCCGUCACUGGGAGGCCGGCCCCGAAAUAGAGUGGCGACCACGCCGUGUGCUCCUCUGCGUAGUAGUAAAUCACCUCGCAGGCGGACAGAGGUGCGGCCUGCCGUAAAACCCCCAACUCUUUCUGGUUGACCUCAGAUCAGGUAGGAAUACCCGCUGAACUUAAGCAUAUCAAUAAGCGGAGGA